Molecule: non-coding RNA, 901 nt
Organism: Marmota flaviventris (yellow-bellied marmot)
Lineage: Eukaryota; Metazoa; Chordata; Mammalia; Rodentia; Sciuridae
Source: RefSeq, a predicted model, not a curated record
UAAAUAUUAAAAUUAUCUCUCUCUCUCUCUCUCUUUAAAAAAACAAAACAAAACUGUGAGACAUCAUUCACCUGCAUCAGCCCCCUGCCUGGGACACCACGUAGCAAAAGACAUAAAACUUCCUACUAGGAUUGCCAGGUUCCUGCAGAAAGGGUGGCGGGGAUGCUUCUGAACUCAAGCCUGACUUGGAUCACUGAUGUCCAGCGCCCCACUGCUACAGUAAGCUUGUUCUACAGGUUCCCAGAGGGGUCCCAGGAGGAAGCCACUGUGGCCAGCAGGAGUUGUGGGGUGGCUGACUGGGGACCCCAGGAGCGCCUGGCAGCCCAGAGCCAUGAAAUCAUGAUGCUGCAGCGUGUGCUGCGCAGGGACAGUAGCAAAGGGCUGAUGAACUUAACAGGACAGCAUGGCUCCUCCUUUCUGGAAGUGGGGAAACCAAAGCAGGGUGGGCUCAGGGCAAGGUCAGGUGAGAGGGGCUGUCGGCAAACUUCCUUUCCUUCUUCCCUUGACUCGUAGCAGGGAGUCUUCCUGAACCUCUAAAAUCCAUAUUUCAUGAUUGACUCUUCUUCUAUCAGGCAAACCCUAAAUGGUGGUCAUGAUGCCUCAUGUCCCUUUGCCUGAGUCUCUUGUGGGGUCAGACACACACAGGGGUAGCUGGGGGCUGGUUGUAAGGUCCUUGCUUAGCAUCUGGACGGCCAUCUUAAGUGACAGCUGCCAUUUUAAGAAAAAUUUCACUUGUCCCACCCAAGAGCAUUUCUGAGAAAGGCUCACCACUCCCUCAUACUCACCCCACCCUUAACCACCCAGUUCUAAUCCCUCAGCCUGCCCCAAACCUGUAUUGCCUCUCUUGUCCAAGGAGAGAUGGCCUUUCUUUGUCAGCUUGACAAAUAAACUCUCGUGUAUA